GUUCACAAUAUUGGCCCUUACGAAUGUGGACUGCGAGUGGAGGAAGCCAGCCGUGCCCAACGAGGUGCAGUCAGUGGAGGACGUGUACCCGGACGAAGACUAUGGAAGGGGAGGAACCAUUGGAGUCAACAUGGGGCCAGCAUCCCUGUAGAAGGCUUUUGACACCUUGAGGAGUCCAUGCCCCGACCAAUUGAGGUGGUUCUGAGGGUAGAAGGAGGUGCAACUCAAUAUUAGGAAGGUGGCUAGAGAGUUGGGCCAGUAACCGAAAGGUUGCUGGAUCGAAUCCCUGAGCUGACAAGGUAAACAUCGGUCAUUCUGAACAAGGCUGUUAACCCACUGUUCCCCGGCCGUCAAUAUAAAUAAGAAUUUGUUCUUAUGUUCUUAACUGACUUGCCUAGUUAAAAAAAAAUUUAAAGUCCUAAUGUUUUGUAUACUCAGUGUAUAAUGCCAGAAGAGAAGGUGCAUCUGCCUAAUUACAGACAAGUUGACUAAUAAAUAGCAGAAACACAUCUAAAUCAGGAAGAACAAUGUCUGCAUCCCCCUGUUAAAACUCGUUUAGCCGUUUCUGACUGUAGACUACAGGUCACUUUUUAUAUUAUCGGUUUAGAGUGGGGUGUAGGCAUCAGAUUCUCACUUUAUCACAUAGGCUAUAGUCGGACGGUUGCUGAUGGGUUAUUAGCUAUUGUGGUCGGUUGCUGAUGGGUUAUUAGCUAUUGUGGUCGGUUGCUGAUGGGUUAUUAGCUAUAGUCGGACGGUUGCUGAUGGGUUAUUAGCUAUUGUGGUCGGUUGCUGAUGGGUUAUUAGCUAUAGUCGGACGGUUGCUGAUGGGUUAUUAGCUAUUGUGGUCGGUUGCUGGUGAACAAACAGCUGACAUGCGCACCACUACAAAGACCUGUGUCUAUACAGCCUCUCCCCAUCAGGACUGAACUGAACUGAACUGAAUCCGUUCAUCUCCACUCGACACUCGCAGCGCGACAAAACAUCUUCAAUUAGGACACCAGGCGUGUCCGUAUAGCCCCUCUUUCGGGGAGAGCUUCUUCCGUAUAGCCCCUCUUCCGGGGACAUCCUCUUCCGGUAAGAGCCUCCUCUUCCUAAUGACGUCGCGUAGCUACCGUUUUGGUAGUCGAGGAUUCGUUGAAGAAAAGCGAAGAGAUUGUUGUCAACAACACGGGUUUUUAACACUGCCCUAGUUAAUUUACAGAGAACAAGAUGUCAGAUACAGACACGAAACCUUCAGGUCCAGAUGGAGGAGACCAAAAGGAUGGAGAGUACAUCAAACUGAAAGUGAUCGGUCAGGACAACAGUGAAAUUCACUUCAAAGUGAAAAUGACCACCCAUCUGAAGAAGCUGAAGGAGUCUUACAGCCAGAGACAGGGUGUUCAUAUGAGUACCUUACGGUUUCUAUUUGAGGGACAACGAAUCUCAGACAACCACACUCCAAAAGAGCUGGGGAUGGAAGACGAGGACGUCAUCGAGGUGUAUCAGGAACAGACUGGAGGACUUCGGAAUAAUUAGUCUACCUGGAUUUAACUUUUGUUGUUGUUGAUGAUGAUAAUAUUGUAUUUUAUAUUUGUACAAUUAAUUUACUGAGUGAAUUUUGUUUUGGCUUUGUGUUCCUCUCAGUGGUAGAGAGGAGAGAAUAACUGUUAUCGUUCUGUUUGUGCUGUUUUGCCAACUUGCGUGGCAAAAAGUUGUCACAAACAGACUGGCACUCGGGCUCUAUCUGUUUGUGCUGGCGUGACAAUGACUGUAGGAGUUGGCAAGACGGCACAGAAUGCAUUACAGAGUAGAAGUGCUGAUCGGGGAUCAGUUUUGCCUUUAAGAAUCAUAGGGGAUUUAAAAAAAAAAUUUACCAGGCAAGUCGGUUAAGAACAAAUUGUUAUUUACAACGACGGCCUACCGAGGAACAGUGGGUUAACUGCCUUGUUCAGGGGGCAGAACCACAGAUUUUUAUUUUCUUUUUUACCUCGUCAGCUCGGGGAUUCGAUCCAGAAACCUUUCGGUUACUGGCCCAACGCUCUAACCACUAGGCUACCUGCCACCCCAUUGACUACAUGGACAAGAGGGACCCUGAUUCCUAGAUCAGCACUCCUACUGUUUUAUGAUUACGGCCACCGGAACAAGGCUACUAUGAUUCCCCCCCCCCCCCCAUGUGGUCCAUCAGAAGACUCAUUAGGUUGGAUAAAUGUUUUCUUCAGACCCCUCCCCCCCCGUAGCUUCAGUUUGGUUGAUUGUCAUCCGUCCCCCAUAUAUAUAGCGUUCGACAGUAUAUAUUUUACUAGCUGAAGAUCCAGGUAACUGCCAAAGUAAAAGGAAACACUAACAUUGGGUGUUAAUAGGGUCACCACGACCCAGAACAGCUUCAAUGCACCUCGAGGGUAGAUUCUACAAGUGUCUUGAACUCUAUUGGAGGGAUGAGACACCAUUCUUCUUCCACGAGAAAUUCCAUUAUUUUGGUGUUUUGAUGAUGAUGAUGAUGAUGAUGAUGAUGGUGGCGGCGGGAAAAACGUUUUCUCAGGCACCGCUCCAGACUCUCCCGUAAGUGUUCAAUUUGGGUUGAGAUCUGGUGACCUGAGAUGGUCGUGGUCUUUGGGUUUUAUCGUUUUUUUUGUAAAAUGCUCACUAAACCAUUCGGUGACCUCUCAAGCCCUGUGGAUGGGGAUGGGGAUGGGGGGGGGGGGGUUGUCGUGGUAACCAAAAUAAUGUCCUGCUCAGCAUUAUUUUUUUUUUUUUGCUUGACCCUAAGCAUGAUGGGAUGUUAAUUGCUUAAUUAAUUUUGGGUUACAACACCUGUGUUGAAGCAUCUGCUUUCAAUAUAUUUUUGUAUCCCUCAUUUCCUCAUGUGUUUUUCCUUUGUUUUGGCAGUUACCUGUAGCUAGCGUGCCACUGUUAUUUCCUGACUUUUAUGUCAAGGUGUUAUACGACUUCAAUAACGUCUCAUCCUCGGGUUCAUUCAAAACGCUUGUCCACAGUCUUAAGUAUUUUAAUAACCAUCAUGUUCCCAUUCACUGCCUGUCUCUUUCUGUUAGAGAACUGGUCAAAUACCUUCUUAUUAAAGGCUCUAUUCAAUCAGCAUCGUCGAAGUCCAGCUUUGCAGCGGGAUUGAAAUAUAAACACAACGAUCCCGCUUUACCGGAAGACUUCACUCCCGGUAAACGCUGCACAUGUAGUAGGCUGAAACCGGGAGACUUCACUGCUGUUAAACGCUGCACAUGUAGUAGGCUGAAACCGGGAGACUUCACUCCCGGUAAACGCUGCACAUGUAGUAGGCUGAAACCGGGAGACUUCACUGCUGUUAAACGCUGCAGAUGUAGUAGGCUGAAACCGGAAGACUUCACUCCCGGUAAACGCUGCACAUGUAGUAGGCUGAAACCGGGAGACUUCACUCCCGGUAAACGCUGCAGAUGUCGUAGGCUGAAACCGGGAGACUUCACUCCCGGUAAACGCUGCAGAUGUCGUAGGCUGAAACCGGGAGACUUCACUCCCGGUAAACGCUGCAGAUGUCGUAGACUCAACCGGGAGACUACCGCGGAAUCUCUUCAGCUUUCCAGAUUGAAGAGGGCUCUUAAUCCGUAGUACAUAAUUUGUACUCUCAACUGUAUAGUACUCUGUAGUACUGAUCUGUAUAGUACUCUGUAGCUCUGAACUAUAUAGUACUCUGUAGUACUGAUCUGAACUGUAUAGUACUCUGUAGUACUGAACUGUAUAGUACUCUGUAGUACUGAACUGUAUAGUACUCUGUAGCUCUGAACUGUAUAGUACUCUGUAGCUCUGAACUGUAUAUGAAUUACUUUUUAAAGGCCCAGUGCAGUCAAAAACUAGAUUUUCCUUUGUUUUGUAUAUAUUUCCACACUGAGGUUUGAUUAAUAUUGUGACAAUACUGAUAAUGCCCUUUUAGUGUAAGAGCUGAUUGAAAAGAACACCUGAAAUAUCAGCCUGUUUUUGUUUUGAUGGAGGUUUAGCCUUGUAAUUUAGUUAAUAGACCGAAAUGGGAGUUCCAAACCUCUCUGCCAAUAGUUUUCAAUGUUCCCCUCCCCACUCAGACCCUCUCUACCAAUAACAGCUAGGUUCCCUCCCCCACUCGACCCUCUCUACCAAUAACAGCUAGUUUCCCUCCCCCACUCAGACCCUCUCUACCAAUAACAGCUAGUUUCCCUCCCCACUCAGAACCUCUCUACCAAUAACAGCUAGGUUCCCUCCCCCACUCAGACCCUCUCUACCAAUAACAGCUAGGUUCCCUCCCCCACUCAGACCCUCUCUACCAAUAACAGCAAGGUUCCCUCCCCCACUCAGACCCCCUCUACCAAUAACAGCUAGGUUCCCUCCCCCACUCAGAACCUCUCUACCAAUAACAGCUAGGUUCCCUCCCCCACUCAGACCCUCUCUACCAAUAACAGCUAGGUUCCCUCCCCCACUCAGAACCUCUCUACCAAUAACAGCUAGGUUCCCUCCCCCACUCAGACCCUCUCUACCAAUAACAGCUAGGUUCCCUCCCCCACUCAGACCCUCUCUACCAAUAACAGCUAGGUUCCCUCCCCCACUCAGAACCUCUCUACCAAUAACAGCUAGGUUCCCUCCCCCACUCAGAACCUCUCUACCAAUAACAGCUAGGUUCCCUCCCCCACUCAGAACCUCUCUACCAAUAACAGCUAGGUUCCCUCCCCCACUCAGACCCUCUCUACCAAUAACAGCUAGGUUCCCUCCCCCACUCAGACCCUCUCUACCAAUAACAGCUAGGUUCCCUCCCCCACUCAGACCCUCUCUACCAAUAACAGCUAGGUUCCCUCCCCCACUCAGACCCUCUCUACCAAUAACAGCUAGGUUCCCUCCCCCAUUCAGAACCUCUCUACCAAUAACAGCUAGGUUCCCUCCCCCACUCAGACCCUCUCUACCAAUAACAGCUAGGUUCCCUCCCCCACUCAGACCCUCUCUACCAAUAACAACUAGGUUCCCUCCCCCACUCAGACCCUCUCUACCAAUAACAGCUGGGUUCCCUCCCCACUCAGACCCUCUCUACCAAUAACAGCUAGGUUCCCUCCCCCACUCAGAACCUCUCUACCAAUAACAGCUGGGUUCCCUCCCCCACUGACCCUCUCUACCAAUAACAGCUAGGUUCCCUCCCCACUAAAUGUAACACGUUUGGUAAACAAUAUUGUUUAUAUUAUUACCGACAGGAUAAAGGCUGUGAGUUCCCAGCCAAAAUACUGAGCACUUUCUUAAUUCUGACUAACCUUGCAUUGUACACACUUCAUAUUUUCUAAAAAGAAAAUCAUGCAUUCAAAUGUUACCCCCUCUUGUAUAUUUUGUAUACGCCUUUUUAUAUAUAUAUAUAUAUAUUUUAUGUGAGUAAGACUUUUUUUUCAUCUCAUGUUAUUAGUUGUCUCAUUUCAGGAGGGGAGACCAUCAUAUGCAGUUUGGGUAUGCUGUACGCGGGGUGAUCAGUUUGGGUAUGCUGUACGCGGGGUGAUCAGUUUGGGUAUGCUGUACGCGGGGUGAUCCGUUUGGGUAUGCUGUACGUGGGGUGAUCAGUUUGGGUAUGCUGUACGCGGGGUGAUCAGUUUGGGUAUGCUGUACGCGGGGUGAUCAGUUUGGGUAUGCUGUACGCGGGGUGAUCAGUUUGGGUAUGCUGUACGCGGGGUGAUCAGUUUGGGUAUGCUGUACGUGGGGUGAUCAGUUUGGGUAUGCUGUACGCGGGGUGAUCAGUUUGGGUAUGCUGUACGCGGGGUGAUCAGUUUGGGUAUGCUGUACGCGGGGUGAUCAGUUUGGGUAUGCUGUACGUGGGGUGAUCAGUUUGGGUAUGCUGUACGUGGGGUGAUCAGUUUGGGUAUGCUGUACGUGGGGUGAUCAGUUUGGGUAUGCUGUACGCGGGGUGAUCAGUUUGGGUAUGCUGUACGCGGGGUGAUCAGUUUGGGUAUACUGGACGCGGGUGAUCAGUUUGGGUAUGCUGUACGCGGGUGAUCCGUUUGGGUAUACUGGACGCGGGUGAUCAGUUUGGCUAUGCUGAACGCGGGGUGAUCAGUUUGGGUAUGCUGUAUGUGGGGUGAUCAGAUUGGGUAUGCUGUACGUGGGGUGAUCAGUUUGGGUAUGCUGUACGCGGGGUGAUCCGUUUGGGUAUGCUGUACGCGGGGUGAUCAGUUUGGGUAUGCUGUACGCGGGGUGAUCAGUUUGGGUAUGCUGUACGCGGGGUGAUCAGUUUGGGUAUGCUGUACGCGGGGUGAUCAGUUUGGGUAUGCUGUACGCGGGGUGAUCCGUUUGGGUAUGCCGUGCGCGGGGUGAUCAGUUUGGGUAUGCUGUACGUGGGUGAUCAGUUUGGGUAUACUGUACGUGGGUGAUCCGUUUGGGUAUGCUGUACGCGGGUGAUCCGUUUGGGUAUGCUGUACGCGGGUGAUCCGUUUGGGUAUGCCGUGCGCGGGUUUUCAGUUUGGGUAUACUGUACGCGGGUGAUCAGUUUGGGUAUGCCGUACGCGGGUGAUCAGUUUGGGUAUGCUGUACGCGGGUGAUCAGUUUGGGUAUGCUGUACGCGGGUGAUCAGUUUGGGUACGCGGGUGAUCAGUUUGGGUAUACUGUACGUGGGUGAUCAGUUUGGGUAUACUGUACGCGGGUUUUCAGUUUGGGUAUACUGUACGCGGGUGAUCAGUUUGGGUAUGCUGUACGCGGGUGAUCCGUUUGGGUACGCCGUACGCGGGUGAUCGUACCUAAAGCUACUCAGGUAUCUACUCUCCUCCUCUGCUGAAGCAAAGCAGGAGGUCUAGCUGUAAAGGAUUGUACAUCCCCUCAAAUGGCACCCUAUUCUCUUUAUGUAGGGCACUAUUUUUGACCCGGACCCUAUUACGUGUACACAGUGUCUCACUGCGUCGAGCCAUAGAAUCACUUUGAUUUAAGUCACUCUUUAGAGAUGUAUAUAAUAGUUUUUUUACUUUUUUUUUUACUUUAGUUGCCAUGGAAGUGAAUGCAAUGCAUACAGUGUGUGUAUUCCGGAAUAGCACCUUAUUCCUUUUAUAGUGUGUUACUUUUGACCAGAGUCCUUG
RNAcentral lists this long non-coding RNA (7028 nucleotides) under Salmo salar (Atlantic salmon). RNAcentral's name for it is "lncRNA (ENSSSAG00000115349.1)". The record is from RNAcentral. Lineage: Eukaryota; Metazoa; Chordata; Actinopteri; Salmoniformes; Salmonidae.